Molecule: ribosomal RNA, 432 nt
Filed under: uncultured bacterium
Lineage: Bacteria
Description: partial 16S ribosomal RNA
Rfam family: Bacterial small subunit ribosomal RNA
Source: RNAcentral
GCGAACGCUGGCGGCAUGCCUAACACAUGCAAGUCGAACGAGACCUUCGGGUCUAGUGGCGCACGGGUGCGUAACGCGUGGGAACCUGCCCUUAGGUUCGGAAUAACUCCCCGAAAGGGGUGCUAAUACCGGAUAAUGUCUUCGGACCAAAGAUUUAUCGCCUUUGGAUGGGCCCGCGUUGGAUUAGCUAGUUGGUAGGGUAAAAGCCUACCAAGGCGACGAUCCAUAGCUGGUCUGAGAGGAUGAUCAGCCACACUGGGACUGAGACACGGCCCAGACUCCUACGGGAGGCAGCAGUGGGGAAUAUUGGACAAUGGGCGAAAGCCUGAUCCAGCAAUGCCGCGUGAGUGAUGAAGGCCUUAGGGUUGUAAAGCUCUUUUACCCGGGAUGAUAAUGACAGUACCAGGAGAAUAAGCGCCGGCUAACUCCGUG